UCAAAACAAAUGUAAGUGCUCCGAAGGCCAUAAUACCUAAAAUAUUUAAUUAUUAAUACAAGUAAAGAGGUAAGAAAAACAAACUAUAAAAACUUUUUAGCUUUGUCAUGUUAAGUCCUCUCUUCAUUGUCAUAAUUUUCUUCAACAUAAAGUUGGUCUUGUAAACUUGAGUCUGCUAAAGAGAAAAAAAAACACCAAAACUUAACUUAAAAUAUUUGAAUGAAAAAAAUAUGACAAAAGAUUAAACUGACAAAAAAAUUAAGAAGCGAUUCCACGUAUAAAAGUUAUAGUUUCACAAGAUCUCUCUAACAUGAAUAGUAAAUGUGCCCCAUUUAUGCUUGAAGAAACUUGUGAAAAUAUAAAAUGAGAAACAUUAUUAAAACGAUAAAAGAUGAGAUUUUGGAACCUAUGUAUAUAUUUAUAACUAGGUAUACAAAUAAAUGUGCAACAAAAUAUAAUUACUUCCUCCAUCCCAUAGUUAUAGGCUGAUUUUUCAUUUUGAGAUGUCCCAAUAUAUAGGCUACUUACUAUUUAUAAAAUUUAGUUGGUUCAUUGUUUUACUUUUAUGCAUUUAUAAUAAAUAUUCAACCAUUACUCUUUUUUGAAAAAAUAACAUUCAAUGUCAUUAUUUUUAUCACCACAUUUAAUGUUGUUGUAUUCUCUUUGAUUAAAAUUCUAUGGUUGUGGACUUUAACACGUUAAUCAAUGAAGUUGAGAGUUCCAUUAAGGAGUAGUUAACUUAUUCAUUAAUUCCAUAUUAAGGGGUAUAUGUGGAAAAUUUAUGUUAAAAUUACCACUUAAACUAAUUUUCUUAAACUAUGUGCCAAAAGAAAUCAGCCUAUAACUAUGGGACGGAGGGAGUAUAAGUUAUCAUUAUGCACUUUAGGAAGCUUGGUACCUAUAUAUAUAUAUAUAUAUAUAUUGCUCCCUUCAAGUUUAACUUUUCCAUUAAUCUGCCCUUGAAUUUAUUAACUUAAAUAUUUUCUCAUACCUCUAUACCUAUAAACAAAAAAAAAUCUAAAUAGAUCACCCCUUACUUUAAUAAAAAAAAAAGUAUACUUAGAUAUUUGUAAGUUUGAUCUAAAAAUAUAAUAAUGAAAAAAGUAUUUAAUCCAUUCUUUUUUUUUCUUUUCUUUUGAUACUUAUCAAUAUUAUAAAGUGGGAGGAAAAUAUUGACAGUUAUUUUGGUGUAAACAUCAAAGUGAAGAUUUUUUAUUUCAUUUCUUACCCUUUAAAAUUAGUUAUUUAUUAGGGAGAGAUGAAUCUUGAAUUUCUGAUGAAGAUUAAUUGCAAUUGAACGAGUAAUACUACUAUCACAUAAAAUCGCUCACAUACAUUCACAUACAUAUUGAAGAUUUAUUACAAGGGUCCAUAUAGGGCAUACCAAUAUGUAUGUGAAUGUAUGUGAGCGAUUUUAUGUGAUAGUAGUAUUACUCGUUCAAUUGCAAUUAAUCUUCAUCAGAAAUUCAAGAUUCAUCUCUCCCUAAUAAAUAACUAAUUUUAAAGGGUAAGAAAUGAAAUAAAAAAUCUUCACUUUGAUGUUUACACCAAAAUAACUGUCAAUAUUUUCCUCCCACUUUAUAAUAUUGAUAAGUAUCAAAAGAAAGGUUCCUUAACACUAAUAUACAACAAUUAGAAAAUAUUUACAAAAAUAAUACAUACACAAAAUAAUUACAAAAAUAACGCAAUUCACAUUAAUAAGGAAACAUAAAAUCAAAGAGAAAUAACUGCCAUAAUUAAUAAUUCAAAUUCAAAUAUCUGAGAUUUAACAAAAAAAAUAAAUUCAAAUUCAAAAUAAUAAUUCAAAUUCAAAUUAAUACAUUUGGGUAUUAAAUAAAAAUACAACAAAUUGUUAAGAGAAAUAGAUGGAGAAGAGUGUGAUCACCAGAGGUGAACGGAGACAGAUAUAUCACGGCGACGGAAGGUGAUGGGCGGCAAGUCAAGAUUGAGGCUGUGGGUAGUGAUGGGGGUAGACUUCGAUCUGAUUUGUUACCAAAGUAAAAACCAAACAACCAUAAUCGGUUAUUAUGCAAUUGACGGUCGGAUCGGAAUUGUACACGUACUUUCUUAAGUUGUUUGGAUUGCCCAACUGUUAAACCAAUUUUGUUUGACUGUUAAACCAAUUUAUUAAUUAUACACUGCAUAGAAAACAGAAAGAUAAGAGAGUGAUGUGUAAUGUAAUAUUGAUAAUCAAACCUUCGUACCAAGGUAACCAAACUUUUAUACCAAGGUAACCAAACCUUUAUAUCAAGGUAACCAAUCUACCUCCACACCUGCAGUAUGAAUUGGUUAUCUUCGUCUGAAAGUUUGACAACCAACUACAUGAAGGUUUGGCUACCAACUGCAUCACAUUCAAAAUAAAUUGGUAACUUAAUAAAACUGAAUUGGUUACCUUAGUAUGAAGGUUUGGAUACCCACUGCAUCACAUUCAAAAUAAAUUGGUAACUUAAUAAAACUGAAUUGGUUACCUUAGUAUGAAGGUUUGGAUACCCACUGCAUCACAUUCAAAAUAAAUUGGUAACCUAAUAACACUUAAUUAGUUACCUUGGUAUGAAUGUUUGGCUACCAACUGCACUAUGAAAAAACUGCAGGUGUGGAUGUGAAUUGGUUACCUUGGUAUGAAGGUUUUAUUACCUUGGUAUGAAGGUUUUGUUACAUUGGUGAAAGUUUGGUUACCAACUGCACUAUGAAAAAACUGAAGGUGUGGAAGUGGAUUGGUUACCUUGGUAUGACAAUUUGAUUACCUUAGUAUAAAUGUUUGGUUACCAACUGCACUAUGAAAAAACUGCAGGUGUGGAGGUGGAUUGGUAACCUUGGUAUGAAAGUUUGGUAACCUUGGUAUGAAGGUUUGGUUACCAAUCUCUUCUAUCAGUUGCUGAUUUUGGAUCAAAUCUAAUAAUCAAGGUAAACAUUGGGACAAAUAUGCCACCACCACCAACACCGCCUACACUUCCAAAUGGAGCUCCACAUAAUCCAAUUACGGAACCGACAACAAUUUGCCAACUAAAUUUCAUUUCGGGCCAAACAUGUUGAUAACCUGAUUGAUAUGUCUAAACUUAUUUCAAACAAAUAUAAGAUAUACUAAUAUAUAAAAAAGAUGAAUUCUAUGUGGAAUAGAGAUUCGGCAACAAAAUGUGUCUGCUACUACACUAUGAGGUACAUGUUGCCCUAUAUCCCCUUCAGUAACCUUUCGAAAAAUGUUGCGGAUCAGUUCAACGAUGCUGCGAGGAAAAGGAAAUGUAAGUUUACAAAACAUUUCAACAGAAAGUUCUGUUCCUUGUCAUCCUAUGGUGUCUCAUCUGUCAUGGAUGAUGCCUCCUCUCCUAAAAGUAAAUAUUCUGCUAUAAAGAAUAGUUCACUAAAUGCUCCCACAUCUUCCUGUAAAUAAUCUAUCUUAUUGGCUUAUUCGCUGCAACAACAAAUAUAGUAAUUGUGGUAUGUUUUGAUCCUCAACUGCUUCGUGCUAUACAUGCUCUCUGGUCUCCACCUGUUACUCAAGCAUUGCUUGGAGAAAUAAAAGCUGCAAUGGUUACGAGUGAUGUCGAGCGAACCAGUCUUCUUAGUGAAGGAAACCCUAAAUUGCCUAAGGGUGGAUUAACCUUUACCGAUGGAUCUCUGUUUGACAUGAAUAAGGAAGGUGUUGCAGAGCCAAAUGAAACUGAGAUACAAAAUUGGUUGAAGGGUACGAGAGAUAAGGAGAUAAUCGCAGGCCACGAUUAAAGGAUACUAAAUGUAUUAAUUUUGUAAAUAAAUAUGAAAAAAUGUAUUAUUUUUGUGAUUAUUUUAUUUAUGCACCAUUAUUGUAAUUAUUUCUAAAAAUGUAUUAAAAUAUGUAAUUAAUCCUUAUUACAAUUGAACGUGGUGUAAAACUAAUGAGAGAAAAUUGAGGAGAUAAAAGAGGAUAUCAAGAUACCCCACUGUGUUGAUUAUAAUUUAAAGGAAAUUAUUAAAUUCACAAAAAAAAAUGUUAUUUUCACAACAAAAGUGUCGCAAUAGAUCCUAUAGCGACGGUUUUUACCAUCACUAUACAUUUACCGCGACACUUUUGUUGUGAAAAUAACAAAAAAUAUUGUGGAUUUAACAAUUCCCUAAUUUAAAUCAUUCCUUUAGUUUCAGAAAAUAGAGUUCAUUUGAUUGAAAGACGAAAAAUACCAUAUAUAAAAAAAGCACAAAAAAGAGUCAUAUUUUUUAUGGUAUAAAAUGAUAAAAAUAUCUUUAUCACCACAAUAAAUUUUAGAUAAAUAUUAUAAUAAAUUUUUAUAAACAAGAAUCUUCCGAGAGUGAAAAUAUUAUUAUUCUUCUUAUUUGUAUUUCUCCUCGAAGAAGACCCAUAGUUAAUAGAAGAAUAUUCAGAAACAGAAAUUGAAGAUUUUAUUUUGUUUGACUUUAGAGCAUCUCCAAUAGUAGUAGCAAAAAAAACUCUUUAAAUUUAAGUUUGUUGACCUACGUGACAAUUUGAAGAGCAUUAAUUUCUACUUCAUAUUUUUUGUUUCAUCAGUCUAUUCAAUUCAAUAAGUUGUACAUCAAACCCAUCAAGCAAAAUAAAUGUGUCUUUUCAAUUCAAUGAGUUGUACAUCAAACUCAUCAAGUAAAAUAAAUAUUUUUAGCUUUUUUCAUAUGAUUUUCAUUCUCCCAAAAUAAAUUAAAUGUUUUGAAGAGAAUGAAUGAGGUUGCAGAUUUGAAAAGAGAGAAUGAGGUUGUAGAUUUGAUGACUAAGGUUUGAGAGACUGUUAUAGAUAAUUUUUCUGAUGUGACUCACCUAUUUAAGUAUUCCAAAAUAAUUGAAGAGGCUGUUAGAGAUCUCUAAAAGCUUCAAAAUGGAAUCUACUAGGUAGAAGGUUACAAGUCCAAUGAAUUUAAUAUGUUGAGUUCUUCUUGUUUCAAAAUUCAGUCUUUUGGGGACACCAGCUGUGAAUUAGGUCCAUCUAGUAGGUACCAUAUUCCAAUUACUCAACCUAACUUCACCCACUCCAUCUUUUUUAUUCUUAUAUCCGUUCCUAAAAGAUUGUUGUUUAAAUUUUUUGCACAAUGAUUAAGAAAGUAUCAUUUACCAAGUAAAAUUUGUUUAAAAUUUUAUCACUACCCCUUUAUGGGAAGUUGAAAAUUAUUAAUACAAGGGAGAGAAUUUCUUGGGACAAUGAGAGAAAGUAAGGGUAGUAUAAGAAAGUAAAUAAUUUAUUCUCCUUAAAAGUUGUAAACGACAAACAUUUUUGAACACAUUUUUUCUUCUAAAACGAUAAUCUUUUAGGAACGGAGGGAGUAUUAUAGAGUAAAUGGGAUUAAGAUUAAUAUUUGCUAAGAUUGGCAAAUGAAAUAAUGUUGUCAAAUAUUAAAAAUUUAGUUUGACAAAUAAAAUAAUGUUGCCAAAUAUUAAAAAAUUCUUUUUGUCACAUCUAGGGGUGUAAACGAGUUUCUUUUUAUAAUUUUUAUCGAUAUUAUUUGACUUGUUUAUUUAAGUUGUGGUCUCAACUCUCAAGAUGAGAAAUUAAAUAAUACUACCUCCGUUCCUAAAAAAUUAUCGUUUAAAGUUUUGCGUAUGGAUUAAGAAAGUAUCAUUUACCUAGUAAAAUUUGUUUGAAAUUCCAUCACUACCCCUUUAUGGGAAGUUGAAAACUAUUAAUACAAAAAAGAGAAUUUCUUAGAACAAUGAGAGAAGGUAGGGGUAAUAUAGGAAAAUAAAUAAUUUAUUAUCUUCAAAAGUUAUAAACGACAAACUUUUUGAAACAAAUUUUUUCUUUUAAAACGGCAAUCUUUUAGGAACAGAGGGAGUAAUAUCUUAAGCCUAACAUUACAAGUUGGGUAUUUUAAAAACGUUUGUUGAUCCCUAUUCUGGUGAUAAGCUCUGACAUUAAAUCAUAGAAAUUGAUAUUUCUACAAUAUUUUUUGAUAUUUUUAUAAUAAAAAUGUCGUUAUAAAUAUUUAACGACAGUGAAACCAUCGCUAUAGGAUCUAAAACGACUGUUUUAUUAUGAAAAUAUUAUUUUCUAUUAGAAUUUAUCAGUUUCCUAAAUCAUUCCUAUCUUCACAAAUAUGUAAUGAAUAAUUAACAAGUACCUCAACUUUCUACUUGGACUUGACCACAAAAAUACACAAAGAAGAAACAAAGACGAAAUAGAGAUUUAUUUAUUACCCAAAGAAGAAGUAACAAAGAGGUCAGAGAUGUGAUUGAUGCAUGAAGCUGAUUUCUUGUCAUAAUUUUUUUUUUUAAAAAUCUUUUUGUUUUAAAAUCCAAGAUUUAUUUUCAAAUUAAUAUUAAAAAAACAAUUUUAGAACAGCAAAUUUAGAAGAUAAAAUCAAUAUAAUCUUAUGGGGAUCCUUUUGUGAAUGGGAAAACAACAAUUUUAGAAGAUAAAAUCAAUAUAAUCUAUAAAUAUGGUACAACAAAUUGAGUAAUUACAUAAUACAGAUAACUUUCAAGUUCUUACAGAUAACUUUCGAGACUCGAGGGGCACAACCGCACAGCAGUGAGCAGAGGUUAUGGCUCGGAUCAGUCAGAUGGGGAAGAGUCGCGAUGGGUGAUGAUAUUGGGCUGAAAUUUGGGCACCGUGUGGGACAAAGAGGAGACCUCAAGCACUGAAGGAGAAA
This 6585-nucleotide long non-coding RNA is filed under the name Panax ginseng (ginseng). RNAcentral describes it as "long non-coding RNA (PGIN_LNC017779)". The record is from RNAcentral. Lineage: Eukaryota; Viridiplantae; Streptophyta; Magnoliopsida; Apiales; Araliaceae.